Molecule: RNA transcript, 3944 nt
Organism: Aethalodelphis obliquidens (Pacific white-sided dolphin)
Lineage: Eukaryota; Metazoa; Chordata; Mammalia; Artiodactyla; Delphinidae
Gene: KCNIP1
Gene name: potassium voltage-gated channel interacting protein 1
Exons: 6
Source: RefSeq, a predicted model, not a curated record
CUCUCCCCUUCCUUCCUGGUUAACAGAUAACUGUAGGGCACAUACCUAUUUGACAGAUCUUUCUUUUUCUUUCAUAAUUUCCAAAAGUAGAAAGAACACUUGCAUAGAAUUAUCCAGGGUGCUUGUCAGAGAUUCACGCCCCAAAGUCUCACCUCAGACCUACAGAAUCAGCCUCUGCCGCCUGGGGUGUGGGCACUGACAUCUGCACGUGGCUAGUGGCCCGGGAGAUGCUCACAGACGCUGAAGGCCGAAAGCCCCCCACGGUGGGCUAUAAACUCCUUGAGCCCAUCCUGUUUCCACAUGGCAGCAAGAUGCAAGGCUGGGCCCAGUGUCUGACACCUGGCGAUCCGUCAUUGCAUCCUUGGGCAACUCAGCUCCUCACCUCUUGGAUGCCUGGGGUCACCAAAUUGGAAGUGUCUGACGCAGAAAAGGAUGGCUGAAGGCUUGCCUUGACCCAAGCCAGUACAUUGUCGUUUGCAGAGUGUCAGAUCCAGAAGGACUCUAAGCAAGAAAUUUCUGAGCGUGAGAACAAAGAUGACUGGGCUUCAAAAUCUGGUUCCACCAUCACUUACCAGCAAGACAACUUUGGACGUGUUGCAGCACCUCUCUGUACUUCACCUUCCUCAACUGUAAAAAUAAGACAAUAACAGAACCAUCUUCCUGGGAGGAUAACUUACGAUUACACGGGACACAUGCACACCAAUGCACAUGUACGCCCAUGCAUGCGCACACACAAACAUGUGUGCAUGAACACACGGUACCUCACAAAGUGCCGGGCACCUGCGAACUGCGAAUUGACUGCUGUUGCUGGAGGCUUACUAUACCCUAAGCACAGUGCUGAGUGCCAUAGCUGGAUUUUCCCAUCAAAUCCUCACCACCUGAGCCCAGAUGUCUGCCCACCACUCGUACUGCCUUCUUCAUAGGCGAUGGGUCUUAUGAUCAUUGUCAAGCACACGGCCAAGCCUCUCCCAUCUCCUGUCGCUGCGUCUGGGUCCUGGGACUCUGUACUUGGAACAGAGUGGGACUUGCUGAGAAGAGCUCUGAUCCUGGGAUGGGGAAGCAGGUUGAGGGUAGAAUACAGACCACCAGGUUCCGAGUGAGGGUUGGAGGGUCUCAAAAACUGUGAGUAGAAACAGUACUCAUUUUACAGUCAGAUCUAGCCUUUGCUGCUUGUGAUUCCUGAAAACGUUGUCCAAAGCGCAUUGAGAUCUCCCCAUCACUAGGAAGGAUACCUGCUCCUCCCCCAAGUCCCCUGACCUACAUCUUCUCAGGAUCAGAAGGGCGUUCACCCCUAGCCAGGUGGGCUGCAGAUCAGGGAGUAGGAACUUGGGCUCCCUCUAGUGAGACAGUGGGGGACCUGCGUUCUAGGCGCAGAGCAGCCUCUCUGUAGGACUUCCUCCCUGUCAAGAAGAUGGUGGGGUUGAGAGAGUCCUGGUCAAAAAUAGCCCCUCCUGUGGCUGCCAAGAACGGCAACAACUCCCCAGCAGAGCUGUCAGGAAAGCUCGCUCUUCUGAGGUCGUUGCCUCUGUACCUAAACUUCCCCCAGCUGUGCACACACAGAUCCCUGGGUUCUGGCCCCAUGUAGCUCCCUCAGCCCCUGCACCUAAACUUCCCCCAGCUGUGCACACACAGAUCCCUGAGUUCUGGCCCCAUGUAGCUCCCUCAGCCUCCACACCAUACUCUUUGCCACACCAAACAAGCACUGCUUUCCCUGCUGGGCCCGUUGGGCUGGGCUUGCCCCUGGCCCCUUCCUGCUCACCCCGCUGCUCCCUACCGACUGGGGGUGGGCCAUGACAGAGAUUGGCCCUGAGCCCCAUUUCCGUGCUCAGCUUUUCCUCCUGGAAGCCACCCCAUAGUAUUUUUGGAGUCACUUAACAUCCUAACGAUUAGCAAACUCUUGCAACCAGAUGCCUGGGCUCUGCUGAGUCAGCAGAUGUCCCAACAGCAGUGGAGAACAGACCGUGGGCAGUGUCACUUCGAAUGAGUCUCGUGACCUCUCAGGGCUGCAGUCUCCUUGUCUGAAAACUGAAACAAAAGGCUGAGGUUAAAAGUGACAAAAUAUGGGAAAGCACUUUGGAAAGUAUAAUGCACAAGCCCCUGUUAGUAUUUCUAUUAUGUUUGAAACCGGGAAAUCAGCUGAGAUGCCUUAUCCUUUAGGAUUCCAAUGGCUUUUCUUGGAUGUCCCCCCACCACGACCAUGUAGUGGGCCCCUUCUGCUCUCAGUCUCUCUGCUAUUAUGUAGAUGUGGGGAGAGGUGUACGGAGGUCAGGGUAUUCCCAGUCACCUGGACUUCUGAGCACCUGCUGACACUGAAUUAGGCCAGCUUAGGGACCUGCUUGGUUUCAUAGGUACCCUGAUUCUCUUCUGCAUCAAAUCCAUCUGAAUUUGUAAUUCAAUCCCUUCUCCUAAUUUUCACUUUAAAAAUCUGACAAAUCCUUUGUAUGUAGCCAACGUCACGGGAAGUCUGGGGAGACAGACGGAGCUUACCUCACAGCCACACAGACAACUUAAAGAGAAAGCAGACACACAGGAAGAAGUCCACGUGAAGAUCAAAGCAGGUUGAGAGGGAUGUAUCUACAAGCCAAGGAAUGCCCAGGACUGUCGGCAAUCACUGGAAGCUAGGAGAGGCAGGGAGCGGAUUCCCCCCUCAGCCUCCAGAAGGAACCAACCCUACCAACACCUUGAUAUCAAACUUCUGGGCUCCAGAACUAAACUUUAGAACGCUGGUGGCUUUUGACUCCCUCCCAUCCCUGAGACUUUCCUCUGAUCAGUCACCAGUCCCAUUGACUCCACUUCCUCCCCUGGAGUGAAUCACCAAGUCUGCCUGAGAGCCUCCACUUCCCCAUCUGUAAAAUGGUGUCCUUCCCUUGUGUGGGAUGGAAGAGAGAAGCAACUGGGUGUAGCUGAGAGUUCCAUGUCCUAUGAAGUGAAUUCUCCAUUCAGAGGGCGGUACUCUCCUUGGCAAAAUGGUCAGCUUGACCAAGAGGCGACACAUGCUCUUAUUUGAGAAAUCAAGGUUUCAAGGCCUCUAUUCUGACGGAAGCAGCACAGCUUGGAAGAUUCUGCUGAGACCUGUGCCCCCCAGAUUACACCCCAGACCCUCAUCCACAUACACCCCUUCUCCAGUCAAACCACAAAAAAAUAUGGGAGAACUAGCCUGACAGCUGAGACUGCACAGAGGGGAAAGAAAUGAAAUACCACCCAGCAAGCAUUGCUAUUGUAAUUCCAGUCUAGCCAAUUUUCACUUUUUGCUGGCAUGAGCUGGUUUAGAAGCAGAGGCAGGUAAUCGGGCAGGGAUCAGGGAGGGAGAUGUGAUUCUGCGGCUUGUGUCUGAGAGGCUGGGGUUAGCCCACCCCAAUUUUCUUUCCAUAAUCUUUUGAUUAACCCUGAGCCAGUUUGGGUGUCAUUUUUCAAACCAUCUGUGCUUGACAAGCAGAGCCAAGCCCAGGCUUGCAGCUCGCUAUCUGUAAACAUCAGCUGGGAACCUGCUGUGCCUUGGAGCCUGGGAUACGCCUAAGACACCAGGCAUAUUGGACUGCAGUCCAUCCAGCCCUGGCCCUGCGAGUUACCUACUUUUGUUAUUCCCAUCCUGGAGCUGGGAGAGGUUGAAUAACUUGCCCAAGGUCACAAAGCCAGAGCUGUGACUCUGAAGAUCCCAUACGGUACCAAAGGAACACUCUGUGUCAAACCCCUCAGCAUCAUCACCCCUGGGAUGGACUGAAUUGUGUCCCCCCAGAUUCAUAAGUUGAAGUGCUAACUUCGAUGUAACUGUAUUUGGAGGUAAGAUUUUUAAAAGGAAAUUAAGGUUCAAUGAGGUCUUGAGGGUGGAGGCCUGAUCCAAUAGGACCAAUGUCCUUAUAAGAAGAGGGAGAGAUGCACACAUAGAGAAAAGGCCCUGUGAGGACACAGCAAGAAGGACAGAGUGGCCAUCUACAAGCAGAGGA